This 491-nucleotide ribosomal RNA is filed under the name uncultured soil bacterium. Its description in RNAcentral is "bacterial SSU rRNA". It matches the Rfam family "Bacterial small subunit ribosomal RNA", at positions 26 to 517 of the family's 1533-position model. The record is from RNAcentral.
AGAUUGAACGCUGGCGGCAGGCCUAACACAUGCAAGUCGAGCGGUAGAGAGGUGCUUGCACCUCUUGAGAGCGGCGGACGGGUGAGUAAUGCCUAGGAAUCUGCCUAGUGGUGGGGGAUAACGUUCGGAAACGGACGCUAAUACCGCAUACGUCCUACGGGAGAAAGCGGGGGACCUUCGGGCCUCGCGCCAUUAGAUGAGCCUAGGUCGGAUUAGCUAGUUGGUGAGGUAAUGGCUCACCAAGGCGACGAUCCGUAACUGGUCUGAGAGGAUGAUCAGUCACACUGGAACUGAGACACGGUCCAGACUCCUACGGGAGCAGCAGUGGGGAAUAUUGGACAAUGGGCGAAAGCCUGAUCCAGCCAUGCCGCGUGUGUGAAGAAGGUCUUCGGAUUGUAAAGCACUUAAGUUGGAGAAGGUUGUAACUAAUACGUUGCAACUUUGACGUUACGACAGAAUAAGCAACCGGCUAACUUCGUGACCAGCAGCCG